GGCUCAGGAUGAACGCUGGCGGCGUGCCUAAUACAUGCAAGUCGAACGGAGCUUUGUAUUCGUACGAAGCUUAGUGGCGAACGGGUGAGUAACGCGUUGGUGACCUGCCCCGAAGAGAGGGACAACAGCUCGAAAGGGCUGCUAAUACCUCAUGUGGUCGUAAGGGUUAGAGGCCUUACGUCUAAAUGGAGUAAUCCGCUUCGGGAGGGGCCUGCGUCCCAUCAGCUUGUUGGUAGGGUAACGGCCUACCAAGGCGACGACGGGUAGGGGACCUGAGAGGGUGACCCCCCACACUGGCACUGAAACACGGGCCAGACACCUACGGGUGGCAGCAGUAGGGAAUAUUGCACAAUGGGCGAAAGCCUGAUGCAGCAACGCCGCGUGCACGAUGAAGGCCUUCGGGUCGUAAAGUGCUUUUCGGGGAGAUGAGGAAGGACAGUAUCCCCGGAAUAAGGAUCGGCUAACUACGUGCCAGCAGCCGCGGUAAAACGUAGGAUCCGAGCGUUAUCCGAAUUUACUGGGCGUAAAGCGCGUGUAGGCGGUUCGGUAAGUUGGAUGUGAAAUCUCCUGGCUCAACUGGGAGAGGUCGUUCAAUACUGUCGGACUAGAGGGUGGUAGAGGGAGGUGGAAUUCCCGGUGUAGUGGUGAAAUGCGUAGAUAUCGGGAGGAACACCAGUGGCGAAAGCGGCCUCCUAGACCGCUCCUGACGCUCAGACGCGAAAGCUAGGGGAGCAAACGGGAUUAGAAACCCCGGUAGUCCUAGCUGUAAACGAUGUGGACUUGGCGUUGGUGGGGUAAAAGCCAUCAGUGCCGAAGCUAACGCGAUAAGUCCACCGCCUGGGGACUACGGCC
RNAcentral lists this ribosomal RNA (852 nucleotides) under uncultured bacterium. Its description in RNAcentral is "bacterial SSU rRNA". It matches the Rfam family "Bacterial small subunit ribosomal RNA", at positions 21 to 887 of the family's 1533-position model. The record is from RNAcentral.